Molecule: ribosomal RNA, 460 nt
Filed under: uncultured bacterium
Lineage: Bacteria
Description: partial 16S ribosomal RNA
Rfam family: Bacterial small subunit ribosomal RNA
Source: RNAcentral
CCUACGGGAGGCAGCAGUGAGGAAUAUUGGUCAAUGGACGAGAGUCUGAACCAGCCAAGUAGCGUGAAGGAUGACUGCCCUAUGGGUUGUAAACUUCUUUUAUAUGGGAAUAAAAUGUUCCACGUGUGGGAUUUUGUAUGUACCAUAUGAAUAAGGAUCGGCUAACUCCGUGCCAGCAGCCGCGGUAAUCCGGAGGAUCCGAGCGUUAUCCGGAUUUAUUGGGUUUAACGGGAGCGUAGGUGGAUUGUUAAGUCAGUUGUGAAAGUUUGCGGCUCAACCGUAAAAUUGCAGUUGAAACUGGCAGGCUUGAGUACAGUAGAGGCGGGCGGAAUUCGUGGUGUAGCGGUGAAAUGCUUAGAUAUCACGAAGAACUCCGAUUGCGAAGGCAGCUCACUGGACUGCAACUGACACUGAGGCUCGAAAGUGUGGGUAUCAAACAGGAUUAGAUACCCGAGUAGUC